CCUACGGGUGGCAGCAGUGAGGAAUAUUGGUCAAUGGCCGGAAGGCUGAACCAGCCAAGCCGCGUGAGGGACGACGGCGCCAAGCGUUGUAAACUUCUUUUGUAAGGGAAUAAAGUGAGGCACGUGUGCCUUUUUGUAUGUACUUUAUGAAAAAGGAUCGGCUAACUCCGUGCCAGCAGCCGCGGUAAUACGGAGGAUACGGGGGUUAUCCGGAUUUAUUGGGUUUAAAGGGAGCGCAGGUGGGUUGGUAAAUAAGGUGUGAAAGUUUGCGGCUCAAACGUAAAAUUGCAAUUGAAACUGGCAGCCUUGAGUACAGUGGAGGUAGGCGGAAUGCGUGGUGUAGCGGUGAAAUGCUUAGAUAUCACGAAGAACUCCGAUUGCGAAGGCAGCCUACUAAACUGCCACUGACAUUGAUGCUCGAAAGUGUGGGUAUCAAACAGGAUUAGAUACCCUUGUAGUC
Molecule: ribosomal RNA, 460 nt
Filed under: uncultured bacterium
Lineage: Bacteria
Description: partial 16S ribosomal RNA
Rfam family: Bacterial small subunit ribosomal RNA
Source: RNAcentral